UCAAUUUAAACAAAUCUCCACAGACAAAUUAUAACAGCACAGUCGUACCGUCGGUGUCAUCCUUGGUGUUAUCCUACGUUGAUUUCAUGAAUUGCAGUUUACACCAACACGCUCGGCAACAAGCAGUAAAAUAAUUAUGCCUAAUUUUUAACAACAAACAAGAAAAGUAGCGAGAAGUAUAUUCUUAUUGAAUCAUAUACCGACUAACCACUGAUCGGUAUAGCCAGCUUCGCGACCUCACCUGUCUCGGCUGGCAACCCGAUUUUCGAGUUUUGUUCUUUUUCUUUGUUUCUUCCGUGUCCACGUUGUUGCUGUCGCGUGUCAACGGUUAUACAACGGUGUUACUAAAAUAUUUUUAUUUCUGUUUUAAGUAGUAUGGUGCGUGUGUGGCAGUACUCACGUUGGACAAUGUUCCAGAAGAACUUUUCGUCUAGUUGAACUAUCUGCUUGAGUUGUCCAUUUCGGGUUAGUACUUGCUUUCCAUACCACGUCCUUUUUUUCCAUCCCCCUCUCUUUUUGUGUUACUCGAAAUUCAUUCCGUUCGUGUUUUCGUAAGUAGCGUCCUAAAGGACUAGUACAGAUGUUGGCUAGCGUUUCACAACUUUCGUUCACCUAUAGUUGAACGGCCUACUUGUUUCUAUUUUUGGGAAAGUUAGUUUAGUCUCAUUCUGAACCGCUUCGUUAUUUCGCGCAUAUCAUCCGUACGUCGCUUUGUUUUUUCCGUCUUCGCCCGUUCCUGUCUGGCUGGAAGCACAUCCAGUCUGCGACUGUGAGCUACAGGUCUGCACGGUGGAGAGGGGCUUCCCCACGCCUGGGUCAAGCACAUCCAGUCUGCCGCUGUGAGCUACAGACGGACACUCCCUCCAAGGUCUGACUAGGACAUGGGUCAGACAACAGCAAGACAGCUGCUAAAUAUAUGGCAGAAGAGCUUUCCAGGGCAGAAAGGUAUUGCACAGUUGACAAAAAGGGCGACUGUCGAGGAGUGGAGCCACCAGAAGAUCUGGAGAAAAUGCAUACUAUUAAAAUUAUCAUCUUAUUUCAAUAUA
RNAcentral lists this long non-coding RNA (1046 nucleotides) under Ixodes scapularis (black-legged tick). RNAcentral's name for it is "uncharacterized LOC121833685". The record is from RNAcentral. Lineage: Eukaryota; Metazoa; Arthropoda; Arachnida; Ixodida; Ixodidae.